Molecule: transfer RNA, 76 nt
Filed under: Candidatus Kaiserbacteria bacterium RIFOXYD1_FULL_42_15
Lineage: Bacteria; Candidatus Kaiseribacteriota
Description: tRNA-Val
Rfam family: tRNA
About the family: Transfer RNA (tRNA) molecules are approximately 80 nucleotides in length. Their secondary structure includes four short double-helical elements and three loops (D, anti-codon, and T loops).
Source: RNAcentral
GCGCGAUUAGCUCAGUUGGUAGAGCAAUUCGUUUACACCGAAAAGGUCGGGAGUUCGAGCCUCUCAUCGCGCACAA